RNAcentral lists this small RNA (705 nucleotides) under Pan troglodytes (chimpanzee). Its description in RNAcentral is "processed transcript". The record is from RNAcentral. Lineage: Eukaryota; Metazoa; Chordata; Mammalia; Primates; Hominidae.
CUCGUGUCCGCACGUGCGUGUCUCGGUCAGUAGCCGCUGCGCUUCUCGAACUUCUCUCUCGGCGGUUCAGGAGGCUCUGCCGCAGCCGGGGCCCUCCUGUGACCUGCAUGUACUGGGGGAUUCGCAGGGAGGAUGUCGGGACACCCCGGAAGCUGGGAAAUGAUUUCCAGUGCUUUCAGUCUCAUCCAUCCUCUACAAAAAUGUGGAAUAUUUUAGAACUCGGUUGCCUUUGAGGAUGUGGCUGUGAACUUCACCCAGGAGGAGUGGGCUUUGUUGGAUCCUUCCCAGAAGAAUCUCUAUAGAGACGUGAUGCAGGAAACCUUCAGGAAUCUGGCUUCCAUAGGAAACAAAGGGGAAGACCAGAGCAUUGAAGAUCAGUACAAAAAUUCUUCAAGAAAUCUAAGUUCAUUUCAGAUACAUCAGAGAAAUCACACUGGAGAGAAACCCUAUGAAUGUAUGGAAUGUGGGAAAGCCUUAGGUUUUUCCCGUUCUCUUAAUAGACAUAAAAGGAUUCACACUGGAGAAAAACGCUAUGAAUGUAAGCAAUGUGGGAAAGCCUUCAGUCGUUCCAGUCACCUUCGUGACCAUGAAAGAACUCAUACUGGAGAGAAACCCUAUGAAUGUAAGCACUGUGGGAAAGCCUUCCGUUACUCCAAUUGCCUUCACUACCAUGAAAGAACUCACACUGGAGAGAAACCUUAUGUG